GAUGAACGCUAGCUACAGGCUUAACACAUGCAAGUCGAGGGGCAGCAUGAAAGGAACUUCGGUUCUUUUUGAUGGCGACCGGCGCACGGGUGCGUAACGCGUAUCGAACCUGCCUCAUACUCGGGGAUAGCCUUGCGAAAGUAAGAUUAAUACCCGGCGGUCUCGGAUGGCCGCAUGACUAUCCGAGUGAAGAUUUAUCGGUAUGAGAUGGCGAUGCGUCCCAUUAGCUUGUUGGUGAGGUAAUGGCUCACCAAGGCAUCGAUGGGUAGGGGUUCUGAGAGGAAGGUCCCCCACAUUGGUACUGAGACACGGACCAA
Molecule: ribosomal RNA, 317 nt
Filed under: uncultured bacterium
Lineage: Bacteria
Description: bacterial SSU rRNA
Rfam family: Bacterial small subunit ribosomal RNA
Source: RNAcentral